ACGCUCGACACCUACGGGAGGCAGCAGUGGGGAAUAUUGCACAAUGGGGGAAACCCUGAUGCAGCGACGCCGCGUGGAGGAAGAAGGUCUUCGGAUUGUAAACUCCUGUUGUUGGGGAAAAAGAGGAUGGUACCCAACAAGGAAGUGACGGCUAACUACGUGCCGGCAGCCGCGGUAAUCUGAGGCGGGCUGGCAAGGC
RNAcentral lists this ribosomal RNA (199 nucleotides) under uncultured bacterium. Its description in RNAcentral is "partial 16S ribosomal RNA". It matches the Rfam family "Bacterial small subunit ribosomal RNA", at positions 328 to 539 of the family's 1533-position model. The record is from RNAcentral.